CAAGUAUAGCAGGUGAUCGCAGGUAGAAAUACGUGAGGAAAGUCGGAGCUCCAUAGAGCAGGGUGCUAGGUAACGCCUAGUGAGAGCGAUCUUAAGGAUAGUGCAACAGAAAUAAACCGCCCUUAUAGGUAAGGAUGGAAAGGCGAGGUAAGAGCUCACCAGCAUAUAGGUGACUAUAUGGCUAUGUAAACCCCACCUGGUGCAAGGCCAAGAUAGGAAUAAGAGAUGUUGCUCGCAUCUCCCGGUAGGUAGGCCGCUUGAGCCUAUUGGUGACAAUAGGCCUAGAAAGAUGAUCAUCAAAUACAGAACUCCGCUUAUAGCUAUACUUAACAA
Molecule: non-coding RNA, 333 nt
Organism: Peptostreptococcus stomatis DSM 17678
Lineage: Bacteria; Bacillati; Bacillota; Clostridia; Peptostreptococcales; Peptostreptococcaceae
Rfam family: Bacterial RNase P class A
About the family: Ribonuclease P (RNase P) is a ubiquitous endoribonuclease, found in archaea, bacteria and eukarya as well as chloroplasts and mitochondria. Its best characterised activity is the generation of mature 5'-ends of tRNAs by cleaving the 5'-leader elements of precursor-tRNAs. Cellular RNase Ps are ribonucleoproteins.
Source: Rfam